UGCGGAGGAGAAGCAAUAGAAAAAACAUUUGUCUUAUUUCCAAUGUGUUGAGGGCCUUAACCUAUUUUUAGAAUUUUUUUAAAUAGAAUAGAACGUUUUCGUCCAAAUACAACAGGAAACCGACAUAACAAACCAGACAGUGAAAGAAAAAAGUUAAGAGAAGCAGUUAUUUUGAAGCAAGUAAAGUAAAAACGUGAACAAAUUACCGGGAUAUUCGCAUAUUAGACUAUCAAAUAUAGAAAAUUAGAAACUGUAGAUAAAAUGUGAUAGAUAGAAGAUAUGACAGGUAAAGAUAUAUGUAAUUAUAUCAAGUUUUUAGUAACUACAUGUUGUAGUCAGUUUCGGAUGAUAAGUCAAAAAAGUUUUAAUAGUCUGUUGUUGAACUAAAUUUUAAACAUAUAUUAUGUCAAUUUUUACUUCAUUGAUUGAAUUUCUCAUUUCGUAGAAUUUUCGAACAAAGAAAUAUUCAAUAAGAUCAAUGAAAGCGAUGGUAAGAGGAAAACAUAAUUAAUUAGAAUAUACUAAUUUAAGAUAACCAAUAACAAGUUAUUAUUGUGAUAUUUUGCCGAUGUUGUAGCUACUGUAAAUGACGAUUUAAAUGCAAAUGGAGAUACUGACAGUGAUGAACGAUGCUGUGUGCUGCAUGCUGGUGAUGGAUACAAAGUUGGCAAAAUAAAUCUCUUCAAUAUGGAAACCCUGGAAAAAGAAAGGAUACCUUGCAUGAUACCGUUGGGAUAGCGUACCAAGUUGUGUCACAAAAUAAUAAAAAAUCAUUGUACCAAGAUGACGAUUCUACCCUUGGCAAUUCUCAGCCAGCUGGAAAGAAAAAACGUAGAUCAUUUCUGGUUGUAGGAUUAGACAUAGAGCCGUACAGAAAAAAACACUAAGAUUUUAACAAGAAUAAUGCUUACACUAGAUGACCAGAGAAGGGCGUCAGAACCCCUUUCAUAUAUCAAAGCACGCAUGUACUAUACCUUGUGGAUGAUGGAUUUUUAUUUUUCACCCGACACUACACCAAUGUGGGUUGGCUAGAAUUCUAUAAUUUUUCAAAAUACCAACAAUCUGCAAAAAGUUUGGUACCUGCCACAAAUUAAUCAGUCUCCAACUUCUAUAGCUGUAGUAGCAGAAACAUUGAGGCGUACACAGGUGAUUGCGAAUGAAUGUGGUAAAAAAACCAUUUCAGUAACAUAUGAUCUUGCGAUUGCCAAAGUGGCUAUGCAACUUCAAGCGGAAGAAUCUUCAAAGUUUGACGAUAUAUUUGUCGCUCUAGGUGCAUUCCAUGUAGAGAUGGCCAUGUUUAGCGCAUUUGGCAAGUACAUCGCUGAAUCUGGUGUUCCACAUAUCCUAAAUGAAGCUGGUGUGAUUGAAAAAGGUUCUCUCAAGUCAUUUUUACUAUGAAAGUGUUAUAAGAGAAGUAAAAGAUGUCACCAAAUACUUGCACUUGCAAUGGAGAUUCUUCAUUUUCAAUAUUUUCUUCAAGAAAGAGAGGAAAUUCAAUUAAAAAAAGAUAUCCAAGAAGAAAUCAAGUUUAUAAAAUCCCAAGAACCCUUGAACUUGCAUGAAGGACAUAAAGUAUUCAAAGAAGUCAACAAUGUCUUGCGUGAAUACAGUCAAUUCAGGCAAGAUACAGAGAAAGGAAAUCAGGGUGCAACAGCACAAUACUGGAUGGGUACGUCAAGAUGAUACGACUUUACCAUGAUUUUAGUAGAAGCUUGAGGAAUGGAAACUUUGAUCUGUAUGUGUGCUGCUUGACUAAAAUCAUAAACUAUUUCUUUAGCAUGAACCAUCCAAAUUACGCUCGUUGGAUUGUCCGUUAUCAUGAUAAUCUUCUCAAACUAAAGGACUCCCAUCCCGAGGUUUACAGUGAAUUUCCAAGGGGAUUAUUUUCGCUGCGAAGAACCCAAAAGUCACUCUCAAGAUUAGAUUAGAAAAUGAAGCAAUUUCCUGUGUUAAAAAGUUUGAUGGAAGUUCUCUACCACCUUGUUUACGAGUGUUGCGUCAAAAGAUUUAUCGAACAAAGUAGGUUGCACAGUUAUGGAUGUCAUCAAUAACGUCCGAGCCUCCAAAUCACCUUCCUGAAGACAUGGGUUGGCUGCUGAAAGAUGGCAGCUAUAUCAUUAAGUGGUACGAAGCCGAAAUGUCUCCAAAAGCAGUAGAUGUCACCAGCAAUGAAAAUUAUUAUGGAUUCUCCAGAGAAGAAUUUUGGAUAUUAAGUUUUACAAUCUAGUCACUGAGUUUUUUAAUUAUUACUCGGAAGCAAUUCUUUAUUUCCGCUACUGCCGCCGCUAUUUAAAAUAUUAAAAGUAUUUCCAUUCUCCUUAAGAUUUUGAAGGGUUUGAUGAACUGUCAAGUAAUGACGAUUCAGACAGUGAUGGCGAAACUAGUGACGAAGACGAGUAAUGAUAAUUUAAGAUGCUGAUGCAGAACAAUAUCAAUCAUGCUGCUAUAACCUAUUGUACAUAGUUAUAUUUUAUUAAAUGCUAUCAUAGCAUUUCUUUUUUAAUUUGAUAUCGCUAACUAUUUUCUGACCUGAUCAAGAGACCGUAAUUUUUGGUUUGCUUUUUGCCUAAUCACAAUAGUCUUCCAAAAUCUUUAGUUUGUACCUUAUGAGGUCUAAUUUGAGUCCCUGUUCAGAUCUUUGUCUGACCUGCUGAUAGGACUGCAUUUUUU
Long non-coding RNA from Hydractinia symbiolongicarpus, 2670 nucleotides. RefSeq lists it as uncharacterized. Lineage: Eukaryota; Metazoa; Cnidaria; Hydrozoa; Anthoathecata; Hydractiniidae. The record is from RefSeq and is a predicted model, not a curated record. The transcript is spliced from 3 exons.